Molecule: long non-coding RNA, 3377 nt
Organism: Chlorocebus sabaeus (green monkey)
Lineage: Eukaryota; Metazoa; Chordata; Mammalia; Primates; Cercopithecidae
Source: RefSeq, a predicted model, not a curated record
UUAUGAGUUCUGAAUGAUGAUGGAAACUACUGAUAAUAACAACCACAUGAUGAGGACUCACCGUGAUGCCUCAUCCUCUCUCCAGCAGGCCGUCUUAAUGAGGUUGCGUUCUGUGGGGAGGGCGGGAUUUUGAAUGAGUGUCUGAGAGCCCCCACCUCCAGCUCCUCCUCCCACUCCUGCAGUCGGACGUGGCAGGAGACUUCUCAGUGCCGCUUCAACCUCAGCGGCAGCAUGCUCAGAGGGCCUGGGGGAGGGGAGGCAGGAGGCAGAACUCGGACACUCUGCAGUAGUACCACCCUUUCCUGUGCUCCCACCCACUGUGCAGGGGAGGCCUUGCUUUCUGGUCGCCAGGGAAGCAAGGAGGCAUCGGCCCAGGACAGCAAGGGCAGGAAGGAGCCUGGGAGAAACAGAAGUCAACAAGCAGCAGAUCAGGAGCCUUGUGGAGCAGCCUCCGUCUGCCCGGCAGCCACAGAUGUGGCCUCAGUGACCGCCCAGGGCCUCUCCCACUCCAGCGGCUGCUGUGCUCCUGCCAAGGGCCCAUGGGGGCAGCAGCUGUGUGUCAUCCCUGCCCUUCCUCCUCCUCCCUCCUUGUCUCCCUCCUCCCUGCCUCCUUCCUGCCUUCACCAUCUCUAAGCACCUACCCUUCAUCUGCAUGGAAGAAAGCUCAUAGAAUGACUAUUUCCAGGGACAUUUGAAUUUUAUGAGUGCUUCUCAAGCCCCAAAGGCAAAGGUUCAAUGAAGUAUGGACAGCGGUGCAGAAACAUGAUGGACAAAAAUAGGCUGAUCUAAUGCUGAUAGAUUAGUUUUUAUGAGUGGGAAAACCCAACAAAGCUUGUCUAGAUUCUUCUUGGCCUCUCUGAGCAGCUUCUUUUCCAUCUGGGAAUGGAGCAGGACUUUCUCUAAAAUGAAGGUCUUAUGACCUACAGUCAAACAAGGCUUGAAAAAAAAUUAAUAAAUGGCUUGAAAAGUAGCUGAUUUGAGAGUAAAUAAUGUGACAAGAGAGAUACCAGAGAAGAGAAGGUGUCUGGAUGGUUGGCAUAAUUAAAAUCAAUAUGGAUCGUAAGAAAAUAAUUAUAUUCACUGUACAGUAUUUUUGAAGAUUGCUUCUAUCAAACCUACAAUUUGUGAGUAAAGCUAAAUGUGUAAUAUUCACACAAAUGUUAUGAGGAUGAUUCAUGUUGCUCCUCCCUCUGGCUCCCUCUGGCUGCUUUAGGCUUGGGGGGUCCCCUGUGAAGUUGGAGCUGAGUGGGAUCUAGGACUCAGACAGUGCUCACUGGCUCUGUCUGCCAGUGACACAUUUCAAGAGGGCAGAUCCCACAGUGAACUCAGUUGGCUGGUGGCUCCUGAGAAAUGUGCCACCCCAGUCCUUUGCCAGGUUCUUGUCUUGGCACCAGCAGACACCUUCACCCCAUACCUCAACAAGCAGGUAUUUAAUUGGACACUUAGUACAUGCCCCGCUGAGUUGAGGACAUAGAUCUGAAGGGAAAGAAGCAUGGUUGGCCUCAAAGAGCCUGUAACUACCCACUUCUAGGGUGUGGGCAGAGCUGGCAAUGUUAGAGCUGCAGUUCACAUAGCAGGCUGCUGGCCAACCUGUCCAUUACUGAUUCAAGAGUGGUGAGGUGGGGGCAGCACUGGUGAGGAUGAUACCUAUCCUAGAGAUGAUUAAGUUGGGAUGACAUGGUUUCCCAUGCUGGCUCAACUUUGAAUAGCUCUGUGGCUAUCUCACUCCUUGGUGGAGGCACUGGAGCUGUGAUUUCUGAGGCAAGGAUGUGGUCCCACUGGGAAUUGGAAUGUCUGAGGUCGUUUGAGGCCGCGUGGUGACUAAAAGCAGGGGUGAUGGAGACUGACCAGCUGGGGUUUGAUUCCUGGCUCUGCUGUUUACGAACUGUGUGGUUUUGGGCAAGUGACAUAAGCAUUAAGCUCUAAUUUCUUCACUUGUUGAAAGAAAAAAAAGGAAUAACAACAGCAUGAGGUCAUAUAAGUGAAGCACUUUGCAUCAAAUUUAGUCUGUUUAAUAACUUUUUCAUGUCAGCAUCAUUGUGCCUGUUUUACAGAAAGGGAAACUGAAGCUUAUGAAAAAGGUGAUAUCUAACUCCAAAGCUCAAGCUCUUGCUUCUACUUCUGUACUUCUACCUCAACCUCUAUCCCAACUUCAUUCUGACACCCACUCCUCCUAUCUAGACCCCUGAACGUGUCUCCUGUCCCACCCCUCUACACUCCGUGCAUGACUGUACAAGGCUGUAGUCUAUACGACUAUAACAUCUUAUUCAACCUGCUUUUACAUUGUGUGUAAAAGACAAGCUUGAACUCUGGUGCCCUUGAACAGGGCAUAAUUAGGAGACUAGAGAAGAAGUGUUGGGGGGAGUCCAAAAAGGAGAGUGAGAAUAAAAUGAUGGCUUGAGAGCGAUGACUUCUAAAAAACGAAGGAACAAUAGCAUGUGUGGCACUGAAGAUUCAGGAGAAAUGGGGGGGAAAAGGCUGUGUUUUCUGAAUGGAAUGGGAACCUGGAGGACUGGAUUCUGAGGAGCCUCCCAUUACCUUGGCUUGGGAGAGAACAGGUAGGUGUGAAGUGGACAAGGAAAACCAGGUGUCCUGGAGCACUGUGCAGGUAAGGUGUGCCCUGAGAAGGGGAGUGCUCAGCAGACGAAGGACAGGUAGAGGCACUGACAGAAAGGGCACAAGGCUGGAGUCUAGUGACAUCACAUCCCCAGCAUUGGAAGAUCCUAAAUUCUAGGGUCACACGGGGAUAUCUGCAUGGGGAAUAAGGUGUUAUGAAUGGAUUAUUUUUAUAUCUCAGACUUGUCAGGAUUUUAUUUCGGAGCUUGAUUCUUCCAUUUUCUUCUGUUUCUUCUGUCGUGUCAUGCAAGCGAGGACCUCUCUAGGAAAGGAAUAUACAAAUUGGCUUCCUGUCCAGGGAUUCAUACAUAUAUAGCCAUUAUUUUUUAAAAUAAAGAUUGUUCGGAAAGUUUAAAAACACCUGCUCUUAAACUGGCCUGCAUGUGUGGUUGAGGACAGUUCCCAGAUGAAGGAGUCGUGCCGAAGGGGAGGAUCAUGGUGCAGGAGAGAGGCCUCUUGAAAAUCAGUAGGCAGGGGAUGGAGGUGAAAGGGUGCAUCUCGGAGCCCUUGGCUUGACUGGAGGAGGGUUUUGCUGGGAAGGCAGGCAUGGCAAUGGGGUUUAUAGAGGCUUAGGGUAGUGUUUGACUUCACCCCUUCUCACUGUGUGCUGCUGUGAGAGCCUCAAUUUCCUCUUUAAGUAGAGAUCAUAGUAACUUAUACAAAGCAACUGACCCAUGGUUGGGUGGAGACCAGCUACCCAACAAGAACAGGCUGGGUGCUGUGACUCACAAUUGUAAUGGCAGCACUUUGGGAGGCCAAGA